This 412-nucleotide ribosomal RNA is filed under the name uncultured bacterium. RNAcentral describes it as "partial 16S ribosomal RNA". It matches the Rfam family "Bacterial small subunit ribosomal RNA", at positions 950 to 1363 of the family's 1533-position model. The record is from RNAcentral.
UUUUUUUUGGGGAAAAACCCCUCCUCCCCUUUACAUCCCGAGAAUUUUUUAGAGAUAGGGGGGUUCUCUUAGGAACUCUGAAACAGGUGUUGCAUGGCGGUUUUCAGCUCGUGUUUUGAGAUGUUGGGUUAAGUCCCCCAACGAGGGCAACCCCUUUCCUUUGUUGCCACCGGGUUAAGUUGGGCACUUUAGGGAGACUGCCGGUGACAAACCGGAGGAAGGUGGGGAUGACGUCAAGUCAUCAUGGCCCUUAUGGCCGGGGCUACACACGUGUUACAAUGGCCGGUACAAAGGGUUGCCAACCCGCGAGGGGGAGCCAAUCCCAAAAAGCCGGUCUUAGUCCGGAUUGCAGUCUGCAACUCGCCUCCAUGAAGUCGGAAUCGCUAGUAAUCGCGUAUGCCGAGGUCCCCCC